Molecule: unclassified non-coding RNA, 209 nt
Filed under: Hevea brasiliensis (rubber tree)
Lineage: Eukaryota; Viridiplantae; Streptophyta; Magnoliopsida; Malpighiales; Euphorbiaceae
Source: RNAcentral
AAAUAUAUUAGUUAGAGGCCAUUGAAAAUUGGUUUUAAGUUAAAUUUUAUAUGUGAACUCCAAAAUAGCUAAACUGGCUUUUCGAACUACUUUUUCCAACAUCUAAAAUGGUGCUUCUCCAAAAUGCAGGUUGGAAACACAAUCCCUAACAGUCUACAAUAGUGCAUUUGAUUGUUUUACUGUAUAUUUUAAAGUUUACUUCUUGUACG